This 69-nucleotide transfer RNA is filed under the name Sphaerodactylus townsendi. RNAcentral describes it as "tRNA-Ala". The record is from RNAcentral. Lineage: Eukaryota; Metazoa; Chordata; Lepidosauria; Squamata; Sphaerodactylidae.
GCCAUGGCUCAGUGGUACAGCCUCUGCUUGGCAUAUAGCAGGCCGCAGGUUCAAUCCCUGCCAUCUCCA